Molecule: long non-coding RNA, 368 nt
Organism: Mauremys reevesii (Reeves's turtle)
Lineage: Eukaryota; Metazoa; Chordata; Testudines; Geoemydidae
Exons: 4
Source: RefSeq, a predicted model, not a curated record
GUAGAAAUAACUCCAUUAACAAGGGAAGUCCUUAAUAAGGGAAAUAAAAAGAAAGUCUGUUUCCUCUCUGCUCUGGAGAAGAGUUGAAAAGAUGCUUUCAUUUAUACCCACAUAUCACAAGGAAAAGAAAUUUCAGCAUAUAGAGACUGGAGGAGGAGCUUAAAAAGGGAGCAGAGCAGCUAAUCUGUUGGCAGACCAGGGGAAGCAGCUGAGGAAAGGGGUGACUGAAGAUCAUAUAUUAUACAAUAAGGAUUCAAUCUUGCCAGUGUGUGCCAGUCCAGUAGCUGUUUUUAUCGAGAUGGAUGCAAGCUGCGCAAUUGAGUUCCAGACCUGAAUUUCAAACACCCCAAACCUCAGGAUGUUUGAGG